GGUGGCUCAGCGGUAGAGUGCUUGCCUUGCAUGCAUAAGGCCCUGGGUUCGAUUCCUCAGCACCA
This is a non-coding RNA of Dipodomys ordii (Ord's kangaroo rat), 65 nucleotides long. The record is from Rfam. NCBI's taxonomy places the organism in Eukaryota, Metazoa, Chordata, Mammalia, Rodentia, Heteromyidae.